This 5208-nucleotide long non-coding RNA is filed under the name Triticum aestivum (bread wheat). Its description in RNAcentral is "long non-coding RNA (TAES_LNC004274)". Lineage: Eukaryota; Viridiplantae; Streptophyta; Magnoliopsida; Poales; Poaceae. The record is from RNAcentral.
UCUUUGUCAACAAAACAUAUUAUUUGAUCCUCUUACAGAUUGUAAAAGUAUGUCUCAUGCUCUACAGAUUGUCAACCAUCUUAUGCUUGUACUCAUCAUCGACUGCUAUAUGUUAUAAGGCACGAUAACAAAUUGUCCUUCAUCACCUCUUGCAAAUCUCACAACCUCCAAUUCUUGAUGCACUAAAUCGACUUUCACCACGACCAUUUCUGUUCCCUCGCCACCCCUGCUCGGAUGAAGAGGUGACUGAAAAGAAAAUGAUAUAAGUACAUCAAACAAUCAGAUCAGGGCUGUUGACAAUCCAGAAAUGCCAUGAGUCAUACUGGUGUACAUGAAUAACCAAAUGCCAUAUACAAUUGUCCUGAAGGGGGUAAAUAGAAAGUUUAACCAAAGUAAUCUUACAACCUCAUAUUAGAGGUUAGAUAUCUUUCACGGCAAUUACGGAAAUGAUGAACACUCUUACAGUAAAGGGAGUCAGUGGUGACAACGGGAGGCACACGCGUAGUCGGCGACAACUGCGCGGAUGAGAGGGGAGGACAGGGGGACUUAGUUUGUGCUCCUGUAGCUACACGAUGGAAGAAGUAAAAAAAUCAGUGUAUGCUCAGUCCAUGCAACAUUAAAAGUGCACCCAAAAAAGAAAAUCAAAAACUCAGUUUAUUCUCAUGGUUCUUUACUCAACACUUGCUUGGCCAUGUUGCUCUUUCCCCGCCUAUUCGCUGCACGUCACAAAAACACAUGCCAAAAGAAAUCUGGAAUACAAUGCCUAAAAAUUUGGAAUAUAAUGCCACAAAAACUUGCAAAAUUUCUUUUAAAUAUGAAUCUCUACUCUCCCCUGUUCACGAAAAUAUGUUGUGCUCUAGCUAGUCUAUACAGAUCAUACAGGUUCUAUUGAUUAGGGGGUCACUAAUAAGUGGAGAAAUAUGUAUAGAGAGAUAUGGGCGAGAAAGGCGCAGUACCAUUGCCUAUGUAACGUAUUAGUCUAACAUUCAUCAGUAUUAUAUACCGUGAAAUGUACAAGUCCACAUUGCAGACCACCCAAACAUGUCACAAUCCCUAUAUUAAGCUGAUAAAGCAAAUGAACAACCAGUCAGAACAUACUUAAAGUCAGGUCGAUUUACAAAUUGCAGGCAAUGAUCAAGAGUAGGUGAAUUACUAACCAAAGGAAGCCUCCAGAAUCAAAUCGAGCAUGACACCAUCAUGGACAUCAGGUUGAAGCGAUCUAUUUUCUAGAUAAUAUACCUUGCAUUUCUGUAGUAAUAAAGCAUGAACAAUGAUUGGAGAUUAGAAGAAAAAAUGAUAGAAAGAAAUAGUUGUGAGAGAUCUUGCAUUCACAUUUCAUGUAGCACAAUUAGAGAGAGAAAAGACAGGCAAAUAUAAAAAAUAAGGCCAAGAAUUGUUUUCUUAAAGCCUUAAAAUGAACUGGUAAAGAAAAACAAACCCCAUGGAAGAAAAGAACAAAAUAUGUGCUUCAGGUAGAAGCAUCAGUCACCAGGCUCACAUCCAAGGUUUUUGAGUCGCCGACUAAUCGCCAAGUCGUUGGAGCGAGGUUGGCUUGCACAGGCGACUUGGCUUGAGGAGCGAGUCGCGCGGCUGGUAGGCUAGUCGACGAUUAGUCGACGACUAGUCGGGCGACUAGGACCUCAGAGCAGGGCGGCUUGCUUCAGCAAGGCCAAGGGAGGGAAGACUGGGAAGGUGAGGAGGCCAGAGUUUGAGGGAGGGGAGGAGGAGACGAAGCUGGAGAGUGCGCCGCCUGUACGAGAAGCACGGAAGAGACGAAGGAGAAAGGCACAUGGGAGAGCAGAUGCACGGUCCAGAUUAGAGCAUAUGGACGGUUGGGAUUUUAUUUGGAAGCUAGGGUUACAUAAUGGGCCUAUUGGGCCAGCUCUCUAGCACGAAACAGAGGAGCAAGACGCGUGCUCCCAUCCCACAUCAGAAUCGCCGCCUCCAUUGCUCCUACGAGCUGCUGCUGCCUUCUCCGAGCUGAAGUAUCCUCCAAGCAGCUGCCUUCCCCCUCCUCCGCGUGCAACAGCACCUCUUCCCCCUCCUCCUCCUCCUCUUCCCCCUCCUCCUCCUCUUAACACCUGGGGCGACUUGGGGGCGAUUAAUCACGACGAGUCACAGACUAAUCGCAGCGAGCCACUAGUUGGAGGCAUGGCGACUCGACUUGGCUAGGCGACUCAAAAACCUUGCUCACAUCAUUGUUCUUUGCCAUGGUGCAGGCUUUGGUGCUGAAUGUAGAAUCUAGGCUUCCUCCUGACUACCCUUCUAAUGGUAUCCUCUCCUGCCUCAAUCUACGUUGUGUGGAUACUUCAGAAAGCGCACGUAUCCAGCCGGAUACUGCCCCGAUACGUAUCCCGUAAAUAUCUUUCGAUUUUUUGAUUUUAGAAAAAGAAAAUAAUGUUCGAUACUCCUGGGAUACUGCUGCGAUACGUUUUGGAUACCUCAAACCCCUCGUUCAACCUGAAAUCCCCUCAAUAGAAAAGGCGCACGUUUGAAGAUUCCCAACAUGGGCGUGAGUUCAUGUCAAAACAUGACUAUCAAUGUUCUUGUUCACCGGCCAUGUUGCUCUAAUUUCCCCUACGCCUAUUCACUGCACGUCACAACAACACAUGCCAAAAGAAAAUCUGGAAUAUAAUGACUAAAAAUUUGGAAUAUAAUGCCACAAAAACUUGCAAAAUUUCUUUUAAAUAUGCAUCUCUACUCUCUCCUGUUCACAAAAAUAUGUUGUACUCUAGCUAGCAUAUACAGAUCAUACAUGUUCUAUUGAUUGGGGGGUCACCAAUCAGUGGAGAAAUCUGUAUAGAGAUAUAUGGGUGAGAAAGGCGCAGUACCAUUGCCUAUGUAACAUAUUAGUGUAACAAUCAUCAGUAUUAUAUACCUUGAAAUGUACAAGUCCACAUUGCAGACCACCCAAACAUGUCACAAUCCCUAUAUUGAGCUGAUAAAGCAAAAGAACCAGUCAGAACAUAUUAAAGUCAGGUUGAUUUACAAAUUGCAGGCAAUGAUUAAGAGUAGGUGAAUUACUAACCAAAGGAAGCCUCCAGAAUCAAAUCGAGCUGACACCAUCAUGGAUCAUUAGGUUGAAGCGAUAUAUUUCCUAGAUAAUAUACCUUGCAUUCCUGUAGUAAUAAAGCAUGCACAAUGAUUGGAGAUUAGAAUAAAAAAGGAUAGAAAGAAAUAGUUGUGAGAGAUCUUACAUUCACAUUUCAUGUAGCACACUAGAGAGAGGAAAAGACCGGCAAAUAUAAAAAAUAAGGACAAGAAUUGUUUUCUUAAAGGCCUAACUAAAAUGAACUGGUAAAGAACAACAAACCCCAUGGAAGAAAAGAACAAAAUAUGUUCUUCAGGUAGAAACAUCAGUCACCAGACUCACAUCAUUGUUCUCUGCUAUGGUGCAGGCUUUGGUGCUGAAUGUAGACUCUAGAGCUUCCUCCUGACUACCCUUCUCAUGGUAUCCUCUCAUGCCUCAAGCCCCCAAUCGACUUCUCCAAUCUCCAACUUGCCCAUGUGUUGCAGCAUGUCCCAAAAAGAGACAAACAUGAGGUACUGCGUCUUGCCCGGGACAUCAACCUAUGUACAAAAAGAUUUCUUAGUAUUAGUUCAUACUCCGUACUUCAUAGCUGGAAGAAAGUAAUAUUAAAGGAAUGGUUCAAUCACAGUAUAACCUAGAAGUGUAAAAAUUAAAGAGAAACCUUAACCUUUAGAAGACAACUUUCCCAACUUUGUGCCAUCCGCUUCUAGACUUCACAUGCGCACCACGAUUGUGCUACUUAUACAUGCCUAUAUUAGAACAGAUUCGGCAGAAAGCAGGUCAAUUGGCAUGAAGAUAAAUAUAUAAGGGUGUAUGUAAGAUCUCACAUCCGUAAGUACUCAACCGUUUUUUGUGCGUCCACACUCUGCAAGCAUUACCAAAGAUGAGUGGAUCUAGUUGAGAGUUUAAAAGCAAGGUGCAUAUAUUCAGAUUUUUUUAAAUGUUUUGGUAUGUUUUAUUGCGUGGGUGCACCAAGGUGGGGUUCAGCCACUACUUUCCCUAUAUUCAAAUGUAAGUCAUAUUGGCGCACAUGCAGCUCUACAUCUACACUGAAGUCUGAAUUUGAAAAAAGUUGAAAUAGAUAGUAGUGUCUACACUCUUCAUGUAGAUCACAAUAUCACAUUAUAAUCCUCUACAAUGGUUACAUGUAAAGCAAAUUUGGAGGCAUAUACAACUAAAAAGUAAAUCAUUGUAUCAUGGAAAUGACAUACUAAUAUGGACCAUGGAAUAAAAUACUAUUGGAAGGCAUGUCUGCAAGGAUUGUUUAGAAACUUGAUCACUGUAUCAUGAAAAUGAUAUUGCAAGAGCUGACCUUUCCCUUGUGCACAUUCCCAUGCUUUGACUAAAAUAGAGCAUUUGCAGUUCCUGCUUGGAUGCUCACUUUCUUUCUGUUUACUCACUUCAUAUGCUAUCCCCCGAUCAAAUCAACAGCUAGCCAACCAGCUCUACUUUUGCAGUUUGCAUUGAACACUCCAAAGGGAAAGUUAGAGGCCACCCAUGGCUUCAAGGAUGAGGUAGUAACAGCAAGGUCGAUGAGUAGCGAGAGCGCACCAGACACGGCCGCCCCAGCCCCUCCUCGACGGCACCACGGAGAUUGAGCCGCUACCGCACAGGGAGAGCCUAAGGAGCCGGUCAAGGAGACAGUACUGGCACACGUCGUUGUAGACACAAGGAGAUAGUACGGUCACACUUCAUCCUCCAUUAACUCUAACAUGAGCAUGUAGGCGCCUGCUACAGAAAACGGGCGUGUAAAAAUCCGCACGAGGAUGCAAAGAAAAUGGACAGUAAGGGGCCUUCUUUGUUAAAAAUGGUGCAUCUAGUUGGUUAACAAACUGCAGCUCAAAGAAAAAAAAUCAAUUACUUGGUAAAAAUGUCCCGAUAAUUCCUGGCCAGAAGCUAUGUUGCAACAAAGAUUAAUCUUAAAUUACCAAUCACCUCCAAGCAUGUUCUUACGUCCAGCCAAAGCUAUGACACCUUCAUCAGGAAAUAAUAUAUUUCAAACAUGAGUACAUGACUCACGUAGCUAGUUCCAUAUACAUACCCUGGGUGUAUACACUACUGCAAUUUCAGGCGACAGUGUGAUGCUAUCCAUUAGUGAAGCCCCAUGAAUCCUCCAUUUAUUUAUUCAAUCAAGGCAUUUAUAUCUUCCCCCAUUCUCCUAUCAUCUAUAUUCUCAC